CCUACGGGAGGCAGCAGUGGGGAAUUUUGGACAAUGGGGGCAACCCUGAUCCAGCCAUUCCGCGUGAGUGAAGAAGGCCUUCGGGUUGUAAAGCUCUUUUGUUCGGGACGAAACGGUUAAGGUUAAUAACCUUGACUACUGACGGUACCGGAAGAAUAAGCACCGGCUAACUACGUGCCAGCAGCCGCGGUAAUACGUAGGGUGCGAGCGUUAAUCGGAAUUACUGGGCGUAAAGCGUGCGCAGGCGGUUUUGUAAGCCAGAUGUGAAAUCCCCGGGCUCAACCUGGGAAUGGCAUUUGGGACUGCAAGGCUAGAGUAUGGCAGAGGGGACUAGAAUUCCUGGUGUAGCAGUGAAAUGCGUAGAUAUCAGGAGGAAUACCGAUGGCGAAGGCAGGUCCCUGGGCCAAUACUGACGCUCAUGCACGAAAGCGUGGGGAGCAAACAGGAUUAGAUACCCUGGUAGUCCACGCCCUAAACGAUGUCAACUGGUUGUUGGGGGAUUUAUUCUCUUAGUAACGAAGCUAACGCGUGAAGUUGACCGCCUGGGGAGUACGGUCGCAAGAUUAAAACUUAAAUGAAUUGACGGNUUGUAGAGUUGCGAGCGACACGAGGGAGAGG
This 618-nucleotide ribosomal RNA is filed under the name uncultured bacterium. Its description in RNAcentral is "bacterial SSU rRNA". It matches the Rfam family "Bacterial small subunit ribosomal RNA", at positions 338 to 950 of the family's 1533-position model. The record is from RNAcentral.